UAAGGAAUAUUGGUCAAUGGACGGAAGUCUGAACCAGCCACGCCGCGUGGAGGAAGAAGGUUCUCUGGAUUGUAAACUCCUUUUGCCGAGGGCUAAGAAACGGGUAUAUCCCGUCGUGAAAGUACUCGGUGAAUAAGCCACGGCUAACUACGUGCCAGCAGCCGCGGUAAUACGUAGGUGGCAAGCGUUGUCCGGAUUUACUGGGUUUAAAGGGUGCGUAGGCGGUUUAUUAAGUCAGUCGUUAAAGGCA
Molecule: ribosomal RNA, 250 nt
Filed under: uncultured bacterium
Lineage: Bacteria
Description: partial 16S ribosomal RNA
Rfam family: Bacterial small subunit ribosomal RNA
Source: RNAcentral